UCAUUCCUGUGAGCAGGUCAUCACAUACACAUGUAAGAAUUCGGCAGCAGACAGAUAAGAGCUUUCCAAGGGUGGGUGCUGAAGUGGGAGGCGGAAAGAAUGCCAACUCACUCAGAAACACAGACCUAAACUUCCGUUGCAAGGCACUGACAGUACCUUUUGCCCCCAAAUGAAAGUUGAGAAACACAGGUGCGGAAGUAGGUAGGAACAGAUUAGGGAAGACGCAGCUAGAAGCCAGUGCCUGCAAACCUGGAUAAUUUUUUGUAACUCUUCAAAGUUCACAAGACUAAGAGUGAAGUGAAAGGCAAUAGGCAAUCAAAAAAAGCCAUUUCUUAUCUUUAAGACAGAAAAAUAGUUUAUCACUUCAACUGUGUUAGUCCUAACUGAUCUCCCUGUCUCCAGCUCUCCAAUAUAAUCUAGAUCCCAUGCUGACCUUUCUAAACAAGAUUCAUUCAUCUGUCUGUCUGUCCAUCUAUCCAUCCAUCCAUCCAUCAGUAUUUUCUGGGAGCCUGAUAAAUGCCACAAAAUCCCCCUACCCAAAAAUUUGUUAAUGAAUUUUUUUUUUUUUUUUUGAGAUGGAGUUUCGC
This 587-nucleotide long non-coding RNA is filed under the name Pan troglodytes (chimpanzee). Its description in RNAcentral is "long non-coding RNA NONPTRT013516". The record is from RNAcentral. Lineage: Eukaryota; Metazoa; Chordata; Mammalia; Primates; Hominidae.